This 66-nucleotide transfer RNA is filed under the name Taenia asiatica. It matches the Rfam family "tRNA". Rfam says of the family: Transfer RNA (tRNA) molecules are approximately 80 nucleotides in length. The record is from Rfam by way of RNAcentral. Lineage: Eukaryota; Metazoa; Platyhelminthes; Cestoda; Cyclophyllidea; Taeniidae.
UGGCCUAAUGGAUAAGGCGUCGGUUUCCGGAGCCGAAGAUUGUGGGUUCGAGUCCCACUCAGGAUG